RNAcentral lists this ribosomal RNA (347 nucleotides) under Pseudo-nitzschia galaxiae. RNAcentral's name for it is "LSU rRNA". It matches the Rfam family "Eukaryotic large subunit ribosomal RNA", at positions 185 to 544 of the family's 3401-position model. Lineage: Eukaryota; Bacillariophyta; Bacillariophyceae; Bacillariales; Bacillariaceae. The record is from RNAcentral.
GUUCCUUGGAAAAGGACAGCUGAGAGGGUGACACUCCCGUCCGCCUGGUAGAGUGAGUCUUUGUCAACGAGUCGAGUUGUUUGGGAUUGCAGCUCUAAUUUGGUGGUAAAUUCCAUCUAAAGCUAAAUAUUGGUGGGAGACCGAUAGCGUACAAGUACCGUGAGGGAAAGAUGCAAAGAACUUUGAAAAGAGAGUUAAAGAGUACCUGAAAUUGCUGAAACGGAAGCGAAGGAAACCAGUGUUUGUUGGUUCAUAUUUCCCUUGUCACUUGUGAUGUGGGCGCUGUGAGCUUGCGUGGGUUUGCUUUGGUUGAUCCCUUUGGAAGAGCGCAGUCAGAGUUGAUGUCU